AACGAACGCUGGCGGCAUGCCUAACACAUGCAAGUCGAACGAGACCUUCGGGUCUAUUUGCGCACGGGCGCGUAACGCGUGGGAACCUGCCCUUAGGUUCGGAAUAACUCCCCGAAAGGGGUGCUAAUACCGGAUAAUGUCUUCGGACCAAAGAUUUAUCGCCUUUGGAUGGGCCCGCGUUGGAUUAGCCAGUUGGUAGGGUAAAAGCCUACCAAGGCGAGGAUCCAUAGCUGGUCUGAGAGGAUGAUCAGCCACACUGGGACUGAGACACGGCCCAGACUCCUACGGGAGGCAGCAGUGGGGAAUAUUGGACGAUGGGCGAAAGCCUGAUCCAGCAAUGCCGCGUGAGUGAUGAAGGCCUUAGGGUUGUAAAGCUCUUUUACCCGGGAUGAUAAUGACAGUACCGGGAGAAUAAGCUCCGGCUAACUCCGUG
Molecule: ribosomal RNA, 433 nt
Filed under: uncultured bacterium
Lineage: Bacteria
Description: partial 16S ribosomal RNA
Rfam family: Bacterial small subunit ribosomal RNA
Source: RNAcentral